GACGAACGCUGGCGGCGUGCUUAACACAUGCAAGUCGAACGAGAAUCUGUGGAUCGAGGAUUCGUCCAAGUGAAGCAGAGGACAGUGGCGGACGGGUGAGUAACGCGUGAGGAACCUGCCUUUCAGAGGGGGACAACAGUUGGAAACGACUGCUAAUACCGCAUGAUACGUUUUAGGGGCAUCCCUGAGACGUCAAAGAUUUAUCGCUGAAAGAUGGCCCCGCGUCUGAUUAGCUGGUUGGUGAGGUAACGGCCCACCAAGGCGACGAUCAGUAGCCGGACUGAGAGGUUGACCGGCCACAUUGGGACUGAGAUACGGCCCAGACUCCUACGGGAGGCAGCAGUGGGGAAUAUUGGGCAAUGGGCGCAAGCCUGACCCAGCAACGCCGCGUGAAGGAAGAAGGCUUUCGGGGUUGUAAAGGCUCUAUCAGCAGGGAAGAAAAUGACGGUACCUGACUAAGAAGCCCGGCUAACUACGUG
This 479-nucleotide ribosomal RNA is filed under the name uncultured bacterium. Its description in RNAcentral is "bacterial SSU rRNA". It matches the Rfam family "Bacterial small subunit ribosomal RNA", at positions 28 to 507 of the family's 1533-position model. The record is from RNAcentral.